GUUUCUGACCUAUCAGCUUUCGACGGUAGGGUAUUGGCCUACCGUGGCAGUGACGGGUAACGGGGAAUUAGGGUUCGAUUCCGGAGAGGGAGCCUGAGAAACGGCUACCACAUCUAAGGAAGGCAGCAGGCGCGCAAAUUACCCAAUGAAAACAGUUUCGAGGUAGUGACGAGAAAUAACAAUACAGGGCAUUUUAUGCUCUGUAAUUGGAAUGAUGGGAAUCUAAAACCCUUUCAGAGUAACAAUUGGAGGGCAAGUCUGGUGCCAGCAGCCGCGGUAAUUCCAGCUCCAAUAGCGUAUAUUAGAGUUGUUGCAGUUAAAAAGCUCGUAGUUGGAUUUCUGUCGUGGUCUUCCGGUUUCGCCCGUACGGGUGUUGACUUGGCUAGCCCUCGGCAUUCUUCCGGUGCCUUCCCCGCUUCACUGCGUGGUGGGUUUCUCCGGAACUUUUACUUUGAGAAAAAUAGAGUGUUUCAAGCAGGCUUUCGCCUUGAAUACUUCAGCAUGGAAUAAUAAGAUAGGACUUUGGUUCUAUUUUGUUGGUUUCUAGGACUAAAGUAAUGAUUAAUAGGGACAGUUGGGGGCAUUCGUAUUUAACUGUCAGAGGUGAAAUUCUUAGAUUUG
RNAcentral lists this ribosomal RNA (621 nucleotides) under Eimeria sp. 667PhPO. RNAcentral's name for it is "SSU rRNA". It matches the Rfam family "Eukaryotic small subunit ribosomal RNA", at positions 303 to 928 of the family's 1831-position model. The record is from RNAcentral. Lineage: Eukaryota; Apicomplexa; Conoidasida; Eucoccidiorida; Eimeriidae.